GCCAAGGUAGUCUAGUCCGGCGAGGCAGCGGACUGCAGAUCCGCUUCAGAAGGGUUCAAAUCCCUUCCUUGGCU
Non-coding RNA from Methanococcus aeolicus Nankai-3, 74 nucleotides. The record is from Rfam. Lineage: Archaea; Methanobacteriati; Methanobacteriota; Methanococci; Methanococcales; Methanococcaceae.